GACGAACGCUGGCGGCGUGCUUAACACAUGCAAGUCGAACGGAAAGGCCUCUUUCGGGGGGUACUCGAGUUGCGAACGGGUGAGUAACUCGUGAGUAACCUGCCCUUGUCUUUGGGAUAACUUCAGGAAACUGGGGCUAAUACCGGACAGGAGCUCCUGCUGCACGGAGGGGGCUGGAAAGUUUCGGCGGCUGGGGAUGGAUUCGCGGCGUAUCAGCUUGUUGUUGGGGUAAUGGCUUACCAAGGCCUUGACGGGUAGCCGGUCAGUGAGGGUGAUCGGCCACAUUGGGACUGAGGUGCGGCCCAGGCUGCUACGGGAGGCAGAAGGGGGGAAGACUGCACAAUGGGUGGAAGCCUGGUGCAGCAGCGCCGUGGGCGGGAUGACUGCCUUCGGGGUGAAGACCAUAUUCGCUAGUGACGGAGCUUUGUGUGACGGUAGUGAGUAAAAAAGCACCGGCUAACUACGUG
This 467-nucleotide ribosomal RNA is filed under the name uncultured bacterium. Its description in RNAcentral is "partial 16S ribosomal RNA". It matches the Rfam family "Bacterial small subunit ribosomal RNA", at positions 28 to 507 of the family's 1533-position model. The record is from RNAcentral.